AUGGUUGACUUUCAACUCCUUGAGGAUAAGGUUGCGGCGAGGUUGCCCCCCUGGCAGGGGCAGAACAUUACCACGAUUGGGCGGGCGGCCUUGGUGAAAUCGGUCCUCACCUCACAAGUCGUCUACCACAUCACCCCGCUCACAGUCCCCCCUGGUUUGCUGAAAAGCAUCAACAAGAUUGAGCGGGCAUUUUUGUGGUCAGCUAGUGACACAACUACAGGAGCAAAAUGCAAGGUCAAUUGGGAGACAGUCUGCCGCCCUACACAGCUCGGUGGGCUUGGCAUACUCCACUUGGGGAAAUUUGCAAGAGCUCACAGGCUGAGAUGGCCCUGGAUGGCAUGGAAGGACCCGUCUAAGUUGUGGGUUGGCCUGGGCAACCCAUGCUCCGAGGUGGAUAUGAACCUUUUCUACGCAUCCACAGUCAUCACCUUGGGCAAUGGAGGGAAGACACCUUUCUGGGAAGCGCCAUGGUUAGGAGGGAAAAGGCCAAAGGAUAUUGCCCCACUCCUUUUUGCGCCCUGCAAGGGAAAAAAUGGUGCGUGA
Molecule: ribosomal RNA, 543 nt
Filed under: Triticum aestivum (bread wheat)
Lineage: Eukaryota; Viridiplantae; Streptophyta; Magnoliopsida; Poales; Poaceae
Description: partial small subunit ribosomal RNA
Source: RNAcentral